This 204-nucleotide unclassified non-coding RNA is filed under the name Hevea brasiliensis (rubber tree). The record is from RNAcentral. Lineage: Eukaryota; Viridiplantae; Streptophyta; Magnoliopsida; Malpighiales; Euphorbiaceae.
CUGGAUUGAAGGAGACCUAUAGAGCUUCAGCUCGCAUGUCCAUAAAUGAGUCGAGUUGAAGACACCAGAAAAAUCAACAUCAGACAAAGGUAGAGGAAAGUUGAGAGAGGCAUAUCGUCACAAGUUCCGGUUCUACACUAUGAUGGAUGUUAGUUGUCGAAUUCCAAAACCUUUGUUGAGGCAGUCAAAAGUGCUUUCCUGGAG